UGGGGAAGAUGGUNGGUCGGUUUGAAGUACCGUGGAAAAAGCCACGGAUAAUUUGGGCCAGCAGCCGCGGUAAAACAGGGGUGGCCAGCAUGUCGGGAUUAAAUGGGUGUAAGGGGGCGCAGGCGGAUCAAUAAGUGGGGGUUUAAUCCAUGUGCUUACACAUGCACGGCUUCAGAUAANGUUGAUNUAGAGUAUUGAAGAGGAAGGUGGAAUUUCCGGUGUAACGGUGGAAUGUGUAGAUAUCGGAAAGAACACCAGUGGCGAAGGCAGCCUUCUGGUCGAGUACUGACGCUCAUGCACGAAAGCGUGGGGAGCAAACAGAAUUAGAUACCCUGGUAGUCCACGCCGUAAACGAUGAAUAAUAGAUGUUGGUCAUGUUGAUCAGUGAAACAGGUGGAGCGCGUUAAGUAUUCCACCUGGGAAGUACGCCCGCAAGGGUGAAACUCAAAGGAAUUUGACGGGGGCCCCGCACAAGCGGUUGGAUUCAAUGUGGUUUAAUUCGAAUCAACGCGAAGAACCCUUCCAGUGGCCUGACUNUCAGCCAUACCACCNGUAAGGGAGGGCCUGCGGGGAGNCGGUGCUGGGGCNUGCNUAGGCUGCGUCUGUCGGUCGUGUGAGAGUGGGUNUUGCCCUUCGCCUGCGACAGNCANCAAUACGCCUGUGGGGUCCNCANAGCAUUGCGUCCGCCGCUCCCUGUAGUGCGCGCNGCCCCGCAAUCCAAGCAGAGAGGCUCGCCCGCGCGUCCACCCGGCCUGGACCCGACACCGAUCGAGUAGAGGGUNA
This 783-nucleotide ribosomal RNA is filed under the name uncultured Chlorobiota bacterium. Its description in RNAcentral is "bacterial SSU rRNA". It matches the Rfam family "Bacterial small subunit ribosomal RNA", at positions 440 to 1117 of the family's 1533-position model. Lineage: Bacteria; Pseudomonadati; Chlorobiota. The record is from RNAcentral.